CCUCACACGCACACACCCCCCUGCGCACGCACACGUCUUUCCGGAAUUCCUUUUUUCUCAAGCGCUGCCUGGGGAUGGCUCGAAAAUGCAUAGCCCCUAACUUUAAAGGGUUGUCACUGAACCCCAACCGCCGUCUGUGUCCAACUCCCCAGCGUCAAGACUCGAUAUGGAAAGCUGUGAAAGCCUGUUUGCAGAUGAAGAGAGUGUUCUAAUGAAUGUCCCAAGAGACUAAUGGCACAUUUUCAUAUCAGAUUUACCCGAGUGUUUUACUCAAAAGGCUCAGACUUUUCUGCUUCCAUCUACGAGGCCUGGCACCCGUUUCUUAGUGGGCCAUGGCUCCGGCAGACCUGCUCUCCCUUGGGUCCAAAGCCAGGCCACUGGUACUUUUGAGCUGGCAUUUACACAACAAUGACUAACUGUGAACUUGAACACCUUCUGACAAAGCAACUGUGUAUACAACAUUUGCUAACAUCGUGUAGGCCUACCUAUAUGUUAGCACAUGUUGUACACAAAAACAAAGUUAAACAUCACACACAAUGUCUAAACCUAUUACAAUUGGAGCAGGCCAACCAUGCUGGAGGUCUGCUGGGUGUGCAGGGUUCUCUUUCAGCCAAGCAACAACACAUCCGAUGUAACUUAUCAAACCUAAUGAGUUGAUAAUCAAGUGUGCUAUUGCUGGGCUGGAACAGAAUCUCUGCUCACCCAGUAGAUCAGGAAUCUUGCUUACCUGAAAUUAUGCUUUAGUAAUAAUAGCCUACUUGUUACUACUCGAUGAUCUACUAUUGUUUAGACAUACAAGUUAGCUUAUUUGUAAAUGUUUUGUUGAUGGUGUUGAUUCUUUGAAGUGAAGUGUUUAAACUUGUUUUAAUUGUUAAACUGUUCAAAAUGAACUAGUGCCAAUGUUGCUGCCAUAAAGAGGGGAAGGGAUUCUGUC
This is a long non-coding RNA of Salmo salar (Atlantic salmon), 934 nucleotides long. RefSeq lists it as uncharacterized. Lineage: Eukaryota; Metazoa; Chordata; Actinopteri; Salmoniformes; Salmonidae. The record is from RefSeq and is a predicted model, not a curated record.